UCGAAAUGUCCGCCACUAUUGUUAAUAC
RNAcentral lists this small RNA (28 nucleotides) under Bombyx mori (domestic silkworm). RNAcentral describes it as "ovarian small RNA-28142". Lineage: Eukaryota; Metazoa; Arthropoda; Insecta; Lepidoptera; Bombycidae. The record is from RNAcentral.